UCAGCCAUCUAAGCCAGGUAACACUCCCCCUCGCCGCUUUUCUCUCUACUUCUCUCCAACUCUCCUCUGUAAGCCCCCUAAAAUCCAAAGCCUGUGGCCACCAUGGCCACCGCCGUGGCAGCCACCGCGAGUGUUACUCCCAAAUGACCCUGGCUAAAAAGCCGCGAACUCCGACGACCACCUAGACCUCAAAUCUCUCUAAAACCAAACCUAAACCGUAAAUCUAGACCCUAAGGCCACCACUCCCCUCCCUAUCCGAAGCCACGACCAACGUGACCUUUACUUUUAUCAACGGAAACCCCCAAAUGUUUCAAAACGUUCUCUCCUCUAACAGACCCGAAACAAAAGACGAAACGACGACUUACCCUGGUGACUCAACGGGGUUCGAUUUCUCAAGCGACGGUGACCGUUCUCUCCUAUGCUCCAAAAGGAUAUGGGCUCAAUUAUGGUGAGCCUCAAUGGCAGCAGUAGUUGGCCGACCAUGGAGCUUUCUCUGUAGAUUCACGCACUAUCUCGGGGCUCUGGGUUGAUCUGUGCACGCCGGCUCAGGUUCCUGUGCACGCUCGGGGGUUCAUGGACACUGUGUGCACUACCUCGGUAUUCUGGGAAUGGUGAGAGCCGUUGGAUCUCAUCAGAUCCAACGGCGCUGGCUUCGGUGGCGCUUGGCAUAAGGAAAAAACCCUAAUGGUCUCUUUAUCUGGAUCGUUGGAUUAGAAGCAGAUCCAACGGUCCAGGGUGAGCGGCGGUUGUAACCUUGGACAGAAGCUGGAAACCGUAACGUCUCGGGCCUUCACGUGUGGGCUACGGUGUGGGCUGCUGAAUCCCAAACCUAUCACUUUAGUUUGGGCUUGUACCCUUCAGCCUGUUUUAGGAGUUGAUGUAGGCCCUGUAACAACACCAUUAAUAAUAUUUUUAGUCUAUGUUAUA
This is a long non-coding RNA of Hibiscus syriacus, 927 nucleotides long. RefSeq lists it as uncharacterized. The transcript has 2 exons. The record is from RefSeq and is a predicted model, not a curated record. Lineage: Eukaryota; Viridiplantae; Streptophyta; Magnoliopsida; Malvales; Malvaceae.